This 497-nucleotide ribosomal RNA is filed under the name uncultured bacterium. RNAcentral describes it as "partial 16S ribosomal RNA". It matches the Rfam family "Bacterial small subunit ribosomal RNA", at positions 28 to 507 of the family's 1533-position model. The record is from RNAcentral.
GAUGAACGCUGGCGGCGUGCCUAAUACAUGCAAGUCGAGCGAACAGACGAGGAGCUUGCUCCUCUGACGUUAGCGGCGGACGGGUGAGUAACACGUGGAUAACCUACCUAUAAGACUGGGAUAACUUCGGGAAACCGGAGCUAAUACCGGAUAAUAUAUUGAACCGCAUGGUUCAAUAGUGAAAGACGGUUUUGCUGUCACUUAUAGAUGGAUCCGCGCCGCAUUAGCUAGUUGGUAAGGUAACGGCCUACCAAGGCAACGAUGCGUAGCCGACCUGAGAGGGUGAUAGGCCACACUGGAACUGAGACACGGUCCAGACUCCUACGGGAGGCAGCAGUAGGGAAUCUUCCGCAAUGGGCGAAAGCCUGACGGAGCAACGCCGCGUGAGUGAUGAAGGUCUUCGGAUCGUAAAACUCUGUUAUUAGGGAAGAACAAAUGUGUAAGUAACUAUGCACGUCUUGACGGUACCUAAUCAGAAAGCCACGGCUAACUACGUG